RNAcentral lists this ribosomal RNA (238 nucleotides) under Mycobacterium tuberculosis. RNAcentral's name for it is "partial 23S ribosomal RNA". It matches the Rfam family "Bacterial large subunit ribosomal RNA", at positions 744 to 981 of the family's 2925-position model. Lineage: Bacteria; Bacillati; Actinomycetota; Actinomycetes; Mycobacteriales; Mycobacteriaceae. The record is from RNAcentral.
GAUGAAGGUGCCGUAACAGGUACUGGAGGUCCGAACCGACUAGUGUUGCAAAACUAGCGGAUGAGCUGUGGAUAGGGGUGAAAGGCUAAACAAACUUGGAAAUAGCUGGUUCUCUCCGAAAACUAUUUAGGUAGUGCCUCAAGUAUUACCAUCGGGGGUAGAGCACUGUUUUGGCUAGGGGGUCAUGGCGACUUACCAAACCAAGGCAAACUCCGAAUACCGAUGAGUACAGCUUGGG